CGUGCUUGCACUGAUUUCAACAAUGAAGCGAGUGGCGAACUGGUGAGUAACACGUGGGAAAUCUGCCCAGAAGCAGGGGAUAACACUUGGAAACAGGUGCUAAUACCGUAUAACAACAAAAUCCGCAUGGAUUUUGUUUGAAAGGUGGCUUCGGCUAUCACUUCUGGAUGAUCCCGCGGCGUAUUAGUUAGUUGGUGAGGUAAAGGCCCACCAAGACGAUAAUACGUAGCCAACCUGAGAGGGUAAUCGGCCACAUUGGGACUGAGACACGGCCCAAACUCCUACGGGAGGCAGCAGUAGGGAAUCUUCCACAAUGGACGAAAGUCUGAUGGAGCAAUGCCGCGUGAGUGAAGAAGGGUUUCGGCUCGUAAAACUCUGUUGUUAAAGAAGAACACCUUUGAGAGUAACUGUUCAAGGGUUGACGGUAUUUAACCAGAAAGCCACGGCUAACUACGUGCCAGCAGCCGCGGUAAUACGUAGGUGGCAAGCGUUGUCCGGAUUUAUUGGGCGUAAAGCGAGCGCAGGCGGUUUUUUAAGUCUGAUGUGAAAGCCUUCGGCUUAACCGGAGAAGUGCAUCGGAAACUGGGAGACUUGAGUGCAGAAGAGGACAGUGGAACUCCAUGUGUAGCGGUGGAAUGCGUAGAUAUAUGGAAGAACACCAGUGGCGAAGGCGGCUGUCUAGUCUGUAACUGACGCUAAGGCUCGAAAGCAUGGGUAGCGAACAGGAUUAGAUACCCUGGUAGUCCAUGCCGUAAACGAUGAGUGCUAAGUGUUGGAGGGUUUCCGCCCUUCAGUGCUGCAGCUAACGCAUUAAGCACUCCGCCUGGGGAGUACGACCGCAAGGUUGAAA
This 850-nucleotide ribosomal RNA is filed under the name Levilactobacillus brevis. RNAcentral describes it as "bacterial SSU rRNA". It matches the Rfam family "Bacterial small subunit ribosomal RNA", at positions 63 to 899 of the family's 1533-position model. The record is from RNAcentral. Lineage: Bacteria; Bacillati; Bacillota; Bacilli; Lactobacillales; Lactobacillaceae.